RNAcentral lists this ribosomal RNA (237 nucleotides) under uncultured Planctomycetales bacterium. Its description in RNAcentral is "partial 16S ribosomal RNA". It matches the Rfam family "Bacterial small subunit ribosomal RNA", at positions 439 to 667 of the family's 1533-position model. The record is from RNAcentral. Lineage: Bacteria; Pseudomonadati; Planctomycetota; Planctomycetia; Planctomycetales.
GGAGUUAAGAAAUGUAGAUACGCUAAUAUCGUAUCUAUUUGACAAAGGCUCCAAAGGAAAGCACGGCUAACUCUGUGCCAGCAGCCGCGGUAAUACAGAGGUGGCAAGCGUUGUUCGGAAUUAUUGGGCGUAAAGAGCACGUAGGUGGAUUUGUAAGUCAGAUGUGAAAGCCUUCUGUUCAACGGGAGAAUUGCAUCUGAAACUACAAACCUUGAGUAUAGGAGGGGAGAGUGGAAC